RNAcentral lists this ribosomal RNA (391 nucleotides) under uncultured bacterium. Its description in RNAcentral is "partial 16S ribosomal RNA". It matches the Rfam family "Bacterial small subunit ribosomal RNA", at positions 959 to 1352 of the family's 1533-position model. The record is from RNAcentral.
UNGGGANGANCCUUCCCUACCCUNGACAUCNUGCGAACCUUUNGGAGAGGAAGGGGUNCUUCGGGAACGCAGAGACAGGUGCUGCAUGGCUGUCGUCAGCUCGUGUUGUGAAAUGUUGGGUUAAGUCCCGUAACGAGCGCAACCCUUGUCCUUAUUUCCCACCGAUUCGGUCGGGACCUUUAGGGAGACUGCCGGUGACAAACCGGAGGAAGGUGGGGAGGACGUCAAGUCAUCAUGGCCCUUACGGGUAGGGCUACACACGUGNUACAAUGGUCGGUACAAAGGGUUGCCAACCGGGGAGGGGGAGCCAAUCCCCGAAAGCCGUUCUCAGUUCGGAUUGGAGUCUGCAACUCGACUCCAUGAAGUCGGAAUCGCUAGUAAUCGGANUCAG